GCCGGUCUAGGGUAGGGUUUAGUUCCUUCAUCUGGAUCACUUCUGAAGAGGAAGAUUGAAUACUCUAUCAAGCUGCCUUUUGUAUGGCAAUGUGUUUUUCCAGAGCAGAAAUUCAGAGCUUCCGCCACGCCAUGAUUCUCUCACUUUGGAAGGUAAAGAUCUAUCUGGCUCUUUCUUGUCAGCUGGUGCUCAUUUGGAUAAGCAGC
RNAcentral lists this long non-coding RNA (206 nucleotides) under Musa acuminata (dwarf banana). Its description in RNAcentral is "long non-coding RNA (MACU_LNC008211)". The record is from RNAcentral. Lineage: Eukaryota; Viridiplantae; Streptophyta; Magnoliopsida; Zingiberales; Musaceae.